GAUGAAGAACGUAGCGAAAUGCGAAAAGUAGUGUGAAUUGCAGAAUUCAGUGAAUCAUCGAAUCUUUGAACGCACAUUGCGCCCAUUAGUAUUCUAGUGGGCAUGCCUGUUCGAGCGUCAUUUCAACCCUUAAGCCUAGCUUAGUAUUGGGAAUCGACUUUACUGUCGUUCCUCAAAUUCAACGGCGGAUUUAUAGCAAUCUCUGAACGUAGUAAUUUUUUUUCUCGUUUUUGAAAUACUAUAAACCUCAGCCGCUAAACCCCCAAUUUCUUAUGGUUGACCUCGGAUCAGGUAGGAAUACCCGCUGAACUUAAGCAUAUCAAUAAGCGGAGGA
Molecule: unclassified non-coding RNA, 334 nt
Filed under: soil metagenome
Description: partial contains 5.8S ribosomal RNA, internal transcribed spacer 2, and large subunit ribosomal RNA
Rfam family: 5.8S ribosomal RNA (bases 1-120)
Source: RNAcentral